Molecule: ribosomal RNA, 253 nt
Filed under: uncultured bacterium
Lineage: Bacteria
Description: partial 16S ribosomal RNA
Rfam family: Bacterial small subunit ribosomal RNA
Source: RNAcentral
GACAGAGGUGCCAAGCGUUAGGCGGAAUCACUGGGCUUAAAGCGUGUGUAGGCGGAUGCCUAAGUACCUUGUGAAAUCCCACGGCUCAACCGUGGAACUGCUGGGUAUACUGGUUGUCUUGAGCCAGCUAGGGGCGAGCGGAACAGACGGUGGAGCGGUGAAAUGCGUAGAUAUCGUCUGGAACGCCGAAGGUGAAAACAGCUCGCUGGGGCUGCGCUGACGCUGAGACACGAAAGCCAGGGGAGCGAACGGG